GAUGAACGCUGGCGGCGUGCCUAAUACAUGCAAGUCGAGCGAACGGACGAGAAGCUUGCUUCUCUGAUGUUAGCGGCGGACGGGUGAGUAACACGUGGAUAACCUACCUAUAAGACUGGGAUAACUUCGGGAAACCGGAGCUAAUACCGGAUGAUAUUUUGAACCGCAUGGUUCAAAAGUGAAAGACGGUCUUGCUGUCACUUAUAGAUGGAUCCGCGCUGCAUUAGCUAGUUGGUAAGGUAACGGCUUACCAAGGCAACGAUGCAUAGCCGACCUGAGAGGGUGAUCGGCCACCCUGGAACUGAGACACGGUCCAGACUCCUACGGGAGGCAGCAGUAGGGAAUCUUCCGCAUUGGGCGAAAGCCUGACGGAGCAACGCCGCGUGAGUGAUGAAGGUCUUCGGAUCGUAAAACUCUGUUAUUAGGGAAGAACAUAUGUGUAAGUAACUGUGCACAUCUUGACGGUACCUAAUCAGAAAGCCACGGCUAACUACGUG
RNAcentral lists this ribosomal RNA (497 nucleotides) under uncultured bacterium. RNAcentral describes it as "partial 16S ribosomal RNA". It matches the Rfam family "Bacterial small subunit ribosomal RNA", at positions 28 to 507 of the family's 1533-position model. The record is from RNAcentral.